RNAcentral lists this non-coding RNA (206 nucleotides) under Cladophialophora psammophila CBS 110553. RNAcentral's name for it is "Eukaryotic large subunit ribosomal RNA". It matches the Rfam family "Eukaryotic large subunit ribosomal RNA", at positions 1171 to 1379 of the family's 3401-position model. Lineage: Eukaryota; Fungi; Ascomycota; Eurotiomycetes; Chaetothyriales; Herpotrichiellaceae. The record is from Rfam by way of RNAcentral.
AUUACAAUAUAAGCUGCGGAAUGCACGCUCAUCAGACACCACAAAAGGUGUCAAUGCAUCUAGACAGCCGGACGGUGGCCAUGGAAGUCGGAAUCCGCUUAGGAGUGUGUAACAACUCACCGGCCGAAUGCAUUGGCCCUGAAAAUGGAUGGCGCUUAAGCGUGCUACCUAUACCUCGCCGUUAGGGUUGACAUGAGGCCCUAACG